AAAUUGAAGAGUUUGAUCAUGGCUCAGAUUGAACGCUGGCGGCAGGCCUAACACAUGCAAGUCGAGCGGUAACACAGAGAGCUUGCUCUCGGGUGACGAGCGGCGGACGGGUGAGUAAUGUCUGGGAAACUGCCUGAUGGAGGGGGAUAACUACUGGAAACGGUAGCUAAUACCGCAUAACGUCGCAAGACCAAAGUGGGGGACCUUCGGGCCUCAUGCCAUCAGAUGUGCCCAGAUGGGAUUAGCUAGUAGGUGGGGUAAUGGCUCACCUAGGCGACGAUCCCUAGCUGGUCUGAGAGGAUGACCAGCCACACUGGAACUGAGACACGGUCCAGACUCCUACGGGAGGCAGCAGUGGGGAAUAUUGCACAAUGGGCGCAAGCCUGAUGCAGCCAUGCCGCGUGUAUGAAGAAGGCCUUCGGGUUGUAAAGUACUUUCAGCGAGGAGGAAGGCAUUAAGGUUAAUAACCUUGG
This 473-nucleotide ribosomal RNA is filed under the name Klebsiella aerogenes. RNAcentral's name for it is "bacterial SSU rRNA". It matches the Rfam family "Bacterial small subunit ribosomal RNA", at positions 1 to 472 of the family's 1533-position model. Lineage: Bacteria; Pseudomonadati; Pseudomonadota; Gammaproteobacteria; Enterobacterales; Enterobacteriaceae. The record is from RNAcentral.